Sapajus apella (tufted capuchin) is the source of this 5488-nucleotide long non-coding RNA. RefSeq lists it as uncharacterized. The transcript has 2 exons. The record is from RefSeq and is a predicted model, not a curated record. NCBI's taxonomy places the organism in Eukaryota, Metazoa, Chordata, Mammalia, Primates, Cebidae.
GCCCUUUCUUCUUAAUGAAGGUGAAUAGAAACAAGGGCUUAGAUUUUGCCCCUCUGAAGAGAGCUGACCCUUAUUCAUUGUCUGAGUCUUUCUGUGGCCUCCCAAGUUUUCUCUUUAUUAUGAAAUAUGAAAGCACAGGACCCAAAGUCCAAUUAGAUAGGAGGGAUGUGGAAGGCAGCAGGUGGAAUUUUCUGAGAAGUUAGUACCAGUGGAGAGAAAAGACAGGUAUCGUAGGUCUUGGUAGGCACAGGUCUGGGCCUUAAGAGCCUUUAUCAGCCUGCAGCGUCAUCAGCCAAAGGGAGGACAAAGUCAGGGACUAUAGAUCCAGAUAGGAGUCAGAGUUGGAGCAGGAGUGGCCCUAGGAAACAGGAUAGAUUCCAGUUUUCAUCCACCUCUCGCUGUGAUUAAGGAGGGUUCACUGGAAUGGGUUUGUGGCUGCAGUUCACUGGAUGGAACCUGCAUACAGUUUGCUGCUGGUUAAAACAAAGAUGGAGGGCUAGACCUUCUGGAAAUUUUUAAUAGUGUCAUUCUCUCAUUUUUCCCUUGCAUUUUGAUAACCCUGCAAAGGCAGCUUUACUGGAUUUAUAGUGUUCUUGUCUCUGCCCUUCUUUCUUUCUUUCUUUUUUUUUCUUUUUCAGCCUAGCUGAGGUUUCCCUUUUAGAAAAGGACUCUUUUAAAUUUUGAACCCAAGGUCAGACCAGAGAAAAGGACUCUUAAAAUUGCCACCAUCUUCUCCUCUUUACCUUCUGGAGAACCUCAACUUUCAUAUUGGUUUCUUCUUAUAGUAAUUACCUCAGACAGAGUCACUAACAGUAGUGUAAUCACAGACUUUUAAAGCCAUGAAGUGCCUUAGAAUUGACCUAGUCUAGCCCUGGUCUGUUCUGCGAAUGAAAGCCAUGACUGUGGCUCCUUGGAAGAACUCUGAAAACGGAGCCCAAAUCAGCCAGGAAUAUAAGUUGAAACAGCCACCGUUGAGUUAUGAUGAUCUCAUGCGUUCAUAUGUUCCCAGUUACCUUUUUGGUUUUCUCCUGACUACGUGAUUUGUUUGUUUCUACAGACUAGGUAAUACAUGAGGGAAAAAAUGGAGACAGAAAAGUCAAAUUCUGCUGUCCUGUAGAUCUGUUGGUGUGCGAGGACUUGCCCUAGCACAUUCAUUUCUCCUUAAGAAAAUAAUUUCUUGGCUUGUAUCACUUUCUUCCUUCCUUUACAGAGGAAUCAUGGAAGCCCAACUUCUGACCUGAGAAAAGAUGCAGUGAAUUUCUUUUUUUGAGUCAGUGACUAUUGGUUCUUUUCCUUCUGGUGUCUUAAGUCUUUUUCCCUUUGUAUUUUCUGUGAAGAGUCAGGAUUCUGAGUCACAGAAUUCAGAUGAGAGACUACAUAUGAAAUCACAGCAGAAUGGGCACAGUUACAACAGGUAUUUCAUGGGCAUUAGAACAGAAUCCAAGGAUGUUUCUUCUAAAAUAGAAAUACUUAGGCCAAUCUGAGCCAAUGUAAGUGGACAUUUCUGUCUUUUCUUUGAAUAAAAAUUUCAACAUCAAAUUUUGUGUUCGUUGUGGAUCCAGAUAUAGAGAUAGGCAGAAGAGGAAGAGUCUAAGCCUCCCUGCGACUCUCUUUCCACAGUCCUUGCUUUGAAAGGUGAUUCCUGCUAGCAGUUUCAAGUGCGGCCUUCUCAGAAGCUUCCUGUGUGUUUAGCAAGCAUAGGUGUUACUUACGAGAAGGUAAUCUGUGCCAUCCUGUUUCACCGGAUGUGUCUUAGAGAUCUUUUCAUAUUAGCAUUUAUAAAUCACCUCAUUCUUUUAAAUUACCAAAUAGUGCUUAGGUAGUUUUAAAUUUUUAUAAUUUGGGGAACAUAUCCAUUCUGAAAUGGAAUUUAAGAAUCAAGUUCUUAAGUUUGAAUCAAAUCAAAUCAAAAGAUAGGUGCUCUUGAAGUUUUGGCAGUGCCAAAGGUUGCACCAGUGUACACUCUCCCAGCAUCAUGGGAGCCUGCCUGUGUACCCUGCUCCCCUGGCAGCAUGUCCUGUCAUCUGGCAUUCCCAUUCCUGCCAGACUCACGGAAAAUGGUAUGUUAUUCAUGUUUUAAUUUGCAUUAAACACGUAGUGAGUGUGAGCAUCCUUUUAUGUGUGGCCGUUUGUAUUUCUCUUUUCGUAAUCUGCCUUUUAUAUCCUUUGCUCACUGUAUUCAUCUUUGUUUUACUAAUUUUUAUGCUGCUUUCUUUGUGGCUUAAAGAAAUGAACCCUAGCCAGUUGUGGUGGCACACACCUAUAGUCCCAGCUAUUCCAGAGGCUGAGGUGGGAGUAUCGCUUGAGGCUUGAGUUUGAGGCUGCAGUGAGCUAUGAUCACACCGUCGCACUCCAGCCUGGGUACACAGUGAGACUCUCUCUCUACAAAUAAUAAGUGAAUUAACUUUUAAAAAGAUGCUAACCCUUUGUCAUAUGUUUUGUGAAUUUAUUGUCCUAGUUGUUGAUAUUUUGGCUUAUGGGAUAUUAUUUUUCAUUCAGAAGCUUUUCAUUUUCAUGUCACAAAUGAACAGACUCAUCGAGAUUAUGACCAUAUUAAUUCAUGCUCUAUUCUAAAAUUACUCAGGUUUUAUUUUAGAUUAACAUCUUUGAUUAAGCUAGAAUUCAUUUUGGUAUGGGUAGGCAUUCAGCUUAGUUUUAUCCCUAAUGUCUAGCUGGCUGUUUAUUUACCUAGCACCCUUGACUGAAUAAUCCAAUUUUUCUUCAUCAAUUCAAAGUGCUACCUGUGUGUUUCAGUAUUUCUUGAGUUUGUUUUCUGGCCUUUUUCUUCUCUGCUGCAGUUUUAAUUACCAAAGCCUCACAUCCUUUAAUCUCUGGUAGCUACACCCUCACAUUACCCUUUCUUCCCUUCAUAUUUUUCUAACUAUUCUCAUAUGUAUAUUUUCCCAUAUUAAGUUUAACAUCCUUUUUUGUUACACUUCUGUAAACAUCAUGUUGGUAAUGUAAGUGAUAUUUUUAAACACUGAGGUGUAUGUACAAGAACUUUUACUGCUGGGGUCUUUCUACCUCUGCUUAGGUCCCCUUUGUUUUCCGUGUUUUUUCUUGUCUAGUUGAGAGGCUGGGGAGGAUUUACCAGUGUUUGGGGUAGAACAGAGUUUGUCCAGAGAAACCAACUACAUCAUGCCACCUAGAGGUGGGCAUUAGUUUGUCAUGGAGGGAGGCCAUAGGACACUUUCAUGGUCUCAGGGACUCACUGGCCUCUCAUAGGUCAGCGCCUCUUGAGCUAGUUCUAGAGCAGAUGUGCUGACCUGGAUCUCAAAGGUGCAGAGCUUGGCCUGCCUUCUGCUCCCCCUCACUGCUCUCCUUGGCUGCCUCUGCCACAGGUCUCCUCUUUCUUCCUCCUCAAGUUCUGCCCCCUGCAUGGGUUGGAGUUAGGGGCAGUCCGAGAGCAGCCUCAUGAGAGUAGCCAAGACAGAGAAGAAGCCUGUCCUCCUGGCACAUCCACUUGGCACCAGAAGGAUGCGCUGGCCAGGAGGUUUUGGCUGGCCACACCUGCUCCAGCCUUGCCCUGCUGGUAGGUGGAGGCAGGGGGCCAGUACCCCAGGCCUGCCCACGACUCGAAAGGCUAGUGCCCUAGUCAGCUUCUUCUUAAACUUCUCCCCAACUUUUACAAACCUGGACUCAGGGCAACUCUGGUAAGGGUGCUGUCUGGAACGGGCAGCCAGUUUGUUUCUAUUUUGAGGUGAAGGUAGAAAUGACCUCCCUCUCAAGAGAUCUUCAGGCCCUUCUCAGCAGGAACAGAUGCCAGUUUCUGCUUCUUUGAAGAAGCAUUUUAUACUCUUAGUGUUUACUAAAGAAUAAUGAGGCAUUUUUAAGUAUUAGGAGUAGAAUAGAGUUUAAAGAAAACCAAAAAAUCCCAGGCCUCUGUGUUCCUGGGACACAGAAGGAGGGGAGAUUGAGAGUCAUGACUUGCCUAAGAAUGCUUAUCAUGUCUGUGGUGCUUGGAGUCUGUGGCCCAGGUGAUUUGAGGCUCGGGGACGCCUCGUGGGCAGAGAGGACCUUUCAGCAGCAUUGUGAAUGAGUGGGUUUAGGGUGCUGAUGAAUUGCAAGGUUUGAAUGUAUUCCUCGCGCCUCAUUUUCCACUUUAGAGAGAAGAUGAUCGAUGCAGAUUUCCUUCGCAGGCUUGUCAGAGGGUCACUUUCUGGUUCCCGCUAGCGCUCCUUGCGCCUGAGACAGAAAACUGGAAAGAGGAUGGAAAUUCAGUAGCGGUUUGGGGAAUUAGUGUUGGAUAAGGAUGGUAGUUGAAGCCGUGAGCUGGAGUGGGGCAAGAAAACACUUAUUUCUUUGCUACUGCUUCUGAGCUGAAGUACAGAUGACAGUGCAGUGAAGACUACUGCAAAGCUUCCAGGCCCUUUGCUUCUCAUGGCGCCUGGCUGCCGCUCCUGGCUCUUCCACAAGAGCUUCUUUCUUUGUCUCUCGCCCAACUGGGCAACAAAAUAGAAUCCAACUGUCUCGCUGUCCAAUUCAAAGGCCCCACAGUCUGCCUGGAGCUUGCUCUUCCAGACUCUGUCAUUUUCCACCUCUGCCUGGACUGUCCUCUCCCUGGUGCGCCUGGGGCUGAAUGCCAGUCUCUGCUCUUGUGUGGAGCCCUCUUGGACAAACGUGGCCCUGCUCUUCUCUGACCCCCACUCCGCAUCACACCUUAAAGAGAGCAUUAUUUGGCCCUUACUAUGCCUCUACAUUUAACAUGGCCAGCUGCCUGUUGCUUUUUUCUUUAAAAGGAAUAGUAACACAUGAGCUCUUUGAGGGCCGAAACCAUGUCUUUUCAGCGUUGUGUCUUCCACAGUAACUGACAGGGGCCUUGUUUCCAUGCAGUGAACUUUUAAAAAGGUUGUUGAAUUAUGAGAUUGAGAAAUUAUUUUUUUAAACGUUCAUUUUCUCUGUUGGGAUUCCUGAGAUUCCUGUUCCAUGUCCAGUCAUUUCCUGUGAUUUUCUCUGAUGGCUGUGAUUUCAUAAGCUUGAUUGUGCAGUAUGUAUUGUGGCAUCUGUUUUCUUCAGAUAUGAGGAGGGCCACACUGCAGGCCUGUUGGUUGCAGCUUGUUUUCUAACUUCCUGUCUGCUGAUGUCCUUGUCUUAUGUUGUCUGUGCCUAGGACUGACUGACUGAAAGUGCAGGUUUUUGCUACCUGCGGUCUCUGGGCUGGGUCAAGCUAAAGCCUUUGCCUAGGUUGACACACUGCAAGUAAACCCCAGCUGUGAUCCACUCUGUCAGCUUAGUGGAAGCUGGCCAUGUUAAAGGUAGAGGCAUAGUGAGCUUCGCACAUGGUGACUGAGUCUUACGUAGAGAGGGAUAGGUCAGGACUCACCUUCUGGGCUCUUUCAGUUCCUGAAGAGAGUGUGUGUGUGUGUAUGUGUAUUUGUGUAAAGACCAGUGAUGUCAUCUCAGAAUAAGACAGCCCUUGGGACUAAGCAAAGUGCUAUGAGAAUAUUUCUAGUACAAGAUAUUACUGAAAAGCAAGAGCUUAAUUUCA